Long non-coding RNA from Nyctereutes procyonoides (raccoon dog), 858 nucleotides. RefSeq lists it as uncharacterized. The record is from RefSeq and is a predicted model, not a curated record. NCBI's taxonomy places the organism in Eukaryota, Metazoa, Chordata, Mammalia, Carnivora, Canidae. The transcript has 3 exons.
UCAGGGACGGAGCUCGGCCGUGAGCAGGAGUGAACGACUGAGUGCAUCAGUGACUCAGGGGAGCAACUCAGGAAAUCUACGAUCGCGUCCUGAAGUUCAAGUGGUCUUUCUUCUGUGGCCUUGGUGGAAAUGAUCUGUAGUUGGGGCUGCUCCGACUCUACCCAACCGGCCGUGUGGGCAAGGCCUUGGCUCCUAAUGUACCAAUGAAGAGGCCGUGGCGUUCCCAUCCCAGGUUUUCGGCGAGGACUGAGCGAGAUCCUGCGUGGAAGGUGCUUUGCACUGCGGCAGGCACGUGGGGAGGGCUACAGGGCUGCAGCUCCUGCUCUCACCUGCCCUCACGCCAGGCAUUCUUUUUUUCCCCCCUCCUUCUAAAGUUUUAAAGAGAGUGCAGAAAACACUAGCACAGACCUCGGUGCACACACAGGAACCCAGCACAAAUCUCAUUUACAGACGGAGUCAGAACAUCACAACAUUUUACGGUUAUUGCUGCAGUCGUCUUGUGCCUCCCUUCCCAGAGAUAAUGGAUAAGGAGCACCUGCUGGUUGACCCUGGACCUGCACCUGGGCAGUUAAAGGCUCCCAAUCCUCUGCACCUGCCCUUAGACUGUUGGCUCUGCCCACGUUUGCAAGGGAAGAACCAUUUUAAAGGAUGCAGGCUUGAGUGAACACAGUGUUGCUGAGACUCUGGGAACAGUGUGUGUGAGGGAACCCAGUGCCUGAAUCUUCCCUGACUUCAAGAAAGACUUGGCAAUGGGUGAGAGGAACAGUAAUGGGGUGGCCAGACAAGGCUGUGAUGAAAUAGGCUGAUUGUAUUCAUGACCCUGGUGCUGCCUGGGAAUUGGAAGUGCGGGCUCCUGGG